The sequence is a non-coding RNA, 90 nucleotides long. It matches the Rfam family "Mesorhizobail RNA 36". Rfam says of the family: Existence predicted via genome wide comparisons with 4 related strains. Analysed further by deep sequencing and Northern blot under various stress conditions.
CAGGAUGGUCUAGGGUUCCGGGAAAGGCAGGGUUCAACCAUGUACAAGGCCGUCGGAUCCCGAGGCUCCCGGGUCAGUCGCGUGCUCUGG